RNAcentral lists this ribosomal RNA (246 nucleotides) under uncultured bacterium. Its description in RNAcentral is "partial 16S ribosomal RNA". It matches the Rfam family "Bacterial small subunit ribosomal RNA", at positions 355 to 619 of the family's 1533-position model. The record is from RNAcentral.
UGGGGAAUAUUGGACAAUGGGGGCAACCCUGAUCCAGCAAUGCCGCGUGUGUGAAGAAGGUCUUCGGAUUGUAAAGCACUUUCGACGGGGACGAUGAUGACGGUACCCGUAGAAGAAGCCCCGGCUAACUUCGUGCCAGCAGCCGCGGUAAUACGAAGGGGGCUAGCGUUGCUCGGAAUGACUGGGCGUAAAGGGCGUGUAGGCGGUUUACACAGUCAGUGUGAAAUCCCCGGGCUUAACCUGGGA